GACGAACGCUGGCGGCGUGCUUAACACAUGCAAGUCGAACGGAAAGGCCCUGCUUUUGUGGGGUGCUCGAGUGGCGAACGGGUGAGUAACACGUGAGUAACCUGCCCUUGACUUUGGGAUAACUUCAGGAAACUGGGGCUAAUACCGGAUAGGAGCUCCUGCUGCAUGGUGGGGGUUGGAAAGUUUCGGCGGUUGGGGAUGGACUCGCGGCUUAUCAGCUUGUUGGUGGGGUAGUGGCUUACCAAGGCUUUGACGGGUAGCCGGCCUGAGAGGGUGACCGGCGACAUUGGGCCUGAGAUGCGGCGCAGACUCCUACGGGAGGCAGCAGUGGGGAAUAUUGCACAAUGGGCGGAAGCCUGAUGCAGCAACGCCGCGUGCGGGAUGACGGCCUUCGGGUUGUAAACCGCUUUCGCCUGUGACGAAGCGUGAGUGACGGUAAUGGGUAAAGAAGCACCGGCUAACUACGUG
This 468-nucleotide ribosomal RNA is filed under the name uncultured bacterium. RNAcentral describes it as "partial 16S ribosomal RNA". It matches the Rfam family "Bacterial small subunit ribosomal RNA", at positions 28 to 507 of the family's 1533-position model. The record is from RNAcentral.